GGUGAAUAGCUUAGUGGUAGAGCAUGUGCUUGGCAUGCUUGAGGCCCUGGGUUCAAUCCCCAGCACCA
Molecule: transfer RNA, 68 nt
Filed under: Heterocephalus glaber (naked mole-rat)
Lineage: Eukaryota; Metazoa; Chordata; Mammalia; Rodentia; Bathyergidae
Rfam family: tRNA
About the family: Transfer RNA (tRNA) molecules are approximately 80 nucleotides in length. Their secondary structure includes four short double-helical elements and three loops (D, anti-codon, and T loops). Further hydrogen bonds mediate the characteristic L-shaped molecular structure. tRNAs have two regions of fundamental functional importance: the anti-codon, which is responsible for specific mRNA codon recognition, and the 3' end, to which the tRNAs corresponding amino acid is attached (by aminoacyl-tRNA synthetases). tRNAs cope with the degeneracy of the genetic code in two manners: having more than one tRNA (with a specific anti-codon) for a particular amino acid; and 'wobble' base-pairing, i.e. permitting non-standard base-pairing at the 3rd anti-codon position.
Source: Rfam by way of RNAcentral